AGCUGGUCUGAAGGUAAUGAGUUAUCUCAAUUGAUUGUUCACAGUCAGUUACAGAUCGAACUCCUUGUUCUACUCUUACCCCCUUCUCACUACCUGCACUUGACUAGUCUAAA
Molecule: Y RNA, 113 nt
Filed under: Aotus nancymaae (Ma's night monkey)
Lineage: Eukaryota; Metazoa; Chordata; Mammalia; Primates; Aotidae
Description: Y RNA (ENSANAG00000003061.1)
Rfam family: Y RNA
About the family: Y RNAs are components of the Ro ribonucleoprotein particle (Ro RNP), in association with Ro60 and La proteins.
Source: Rfam by way of RNAcentral